UUUAGAUAUAAUUUUAUUUCCUGAUUAGUAUUAGUUAAAUUCUUGAAAAUUAAAAAUUUUGGCGGUAUUUUAAUCAAUUCAGAGGAAUCUGUUUCAUAAUUGAUAAUCCACGAUAAGAAGUACUUAUUUUUUUAGUUUGUAUAUCGUUGUUAAGAAUUUCUUUUUUGAGUUAAUUUUCAUUUUUAUUACAUUAAAUUAUUUCAGAUCAAGGKGCAGCUUAUAAAUAAGAAGAAAUGGAUUACAUUAAAUUUAUU
This 254-nucleotide ribosomal RNA is filed under the name Pyropyga nigricans. RNAcentral describes it as "partial 12S ribosomal RNA". Lineage: Eukaryota; Metazoa; Arthropoda; Insecta; Coleoptera; Lampyridae. The record is from RNAcentral.